GCGGGUGUUCGGCUACAUCACUGGGGCGCCAUGGUGCCUGGAGCUGGGCAGUUUUCUCAUCAGAGUGGGGACUGAUGAUGAUUAUUCCCCACCUUCUAAGAGACAAAGACCAACGAGCCACCACAGCCACCAGUCCCAGAACCCGCCAAUGCUGGGGAACGGAAAAUGAGGGAGUUCAACUCUGGCCCUCACAAUCCAGUGGAGGAGACGCAACUCAUCUGCCUCUGUCCCUCUGGGCACGCCUCAUGCCAGGUGCAUCUGUGGACAGGGGCCAUGCUCCUGGGCUUCCAAAGUUGGAGAAAGCUGCCAGGCUCAGGUCUGAAGGCCAGAAUUCUACAGUAAGUCCUACUGAGUCAAGGUGGGAGCAGGGUCGGUAGCUUCCGAGGCUCUGCGGGAGAAUCUGUUUCCUGGCCGUAGAGGUGGCCUGCACUCCUCAGCCUGUGCUGCCCGUCUCGAAUGACUGGAGUUUCCUGCUUCUGUCACUACACCUCCCACCCUCUCCAUCACCUGCUCUGCUCUUACAAGGAUCCGAAGAAAUGGAAUCAUCGUAUCGCUGAUCUACGUAAACAAACUGAAGAAUUGUCUGAAAGAAAAUAUGACAUGAACUUAUGAAUUCAACAGGUGAAGAUUUACAACUUGAUAAAUCAACUUUGUCAGCUCGAGCUGUAAAAGCCAAAGGUCCGGUGAUGAUCCCAUACCCUUUUUUCCAGUCUCAUGUUGAAGAUUUUUAUGUAGAAGGCCUUCCCAAAGGAAUUUUUUUUUUUUUUUUUUGAGAUGGAGUUUUCACUCUUAUCGCCCAGGCUGGGGUGCAAUGGCGCAACCUUGCUGGUCACUGCAACCUCUGCCUCCUGGGUUCAAGAAAUUCUCCUGCCUUAGCCUCCCAAGUCACUGGGAUUACAGGUGCCCACCACCACACCAGGCUAAUUUUUGUAUUUUUAGUGGAGAUGCGGUUUCACCAUGUUGGCCGGGCCAGUCUCGAACUCCUGACGUCAAGUGAUCUUCCCGCCUCGACUCCUGAUAUCAAGUGAUCUUCCCGCCUCGGCCUCCCAGAGUGCUGAGAUUACAGACGUGAACCCAUGCCUGGCCAGGAAUUUUGUUUUUUAGGAAGGCUUUCUACUAAUGGAAUUCCUGGCCUUGAGAGGAUGUUACUUUAGAAGGAAAGGAUUUUUUUGUUAUUAAAAGAGCCACCUAAGCUGAAGAUUCCCUUGAGAACAAGUACUGUCCCUAGUUUCCCAGUGCUGGAAUAUAGAAAAUGGAUGGACAACUGGAUCUACCAUGAAAGACUUGUGAAUCCAGGAAGAGAGACUGACUGGGCAACAUGUUAUUCAGGUACAAAAAGAUUUGGACUGUAACUUAAAAAUGAUCAAAUUAUGUUUCCCAUGCAUCAGGUGCAAUGGGAAGCUCUUCUGGAGAGUGAGAGAAGCUUCCAGUUAAGGUGACAUUGAAGCCAAGUCCUGAAAGAUGAGGAAGAGUUGUAUGAGAGUGGGGAGGGAAGGGGGAGGUGGAGGGAUGGGGAAUGGGCCGGGAUGGGAUAGCGCAAACUGCCCGGGAAGGGAAACCAGCACUGUACAGACCUGAACAACGAAGAUGGCAUAUUUUGUUCAGGGAAUGGUGAAUUAAGUGUGGCAGGAAUGCUUUGUAGACACAGUAAUUUGCUUGUAUGGAAUUUUGCCUGAGAGACCUCAUUGCAGUUUCUGAUUUUUUGAUGUCUUCAUCCAUCACUGUCCUUGUCAAAUAGUUUGGAACAGGUAUAAUGAUCACAAUAACCCCAAGCAUAAUAUUUCGUUAAUUCUCACAGAAUCACAUAUAGGUGCCACAGUUAUCCCCAUUUUAUGAAUGGAGUGAUGAAAACCUUAGGAAUAAUGAAUGAUUUGCGCAGGCUCACCUGGAUAUUAAGACUGAGUCAAAUGUUGGGUCUGGUCUGACUUUAAUGUUUGCUUUGUUCAUGAGCACCACAUAUUGCCUCUCCUAUGCAGUUAAGCAGGUAGGUGACAGAAAAGCCCAUGUUUGUCUCUACUCACACACUUCCGACUGAAUGUAUGUAUGGAGUUUCUACACCAGAUUCUUCAGUGCUCUGGAUAUUAACUGGGUAUCCCAUGACUUUAUUCUGACACUACCUGGAGUUAGCACAGACCCCACAAGUUAGGGGCUCAGUCCCACGAGGCCAUCCUCACUUCAGAUGACAAUGGCAAGUCCUAAGUUGUCACCAUACUUUUGACCAACCUGUUACCAAUCGGGGGUUCCCGUAACUGUCUUCUUGGGUUUAAUAAUUUGCUAGAACAGUUUACGGAACUCAGAAAAACAGUUUAUUUUCUUUUUUUCUGAGAGAGAGGGUCUUAUUUUGUUGCCCAGGCUGGUGUGCAAUGGUGCAGUCAUAGCUCAUUGCAGCCUUGAUUGUCUGGGUUCCAGUGGUUCUCCCACCUCAGCCUCCCUAGUAGCUGAGACUACAUGCCUGCACCACCACAUCUGGCUAGUUUCUUUUAUUUUUUGUAUAGAUGGGGUCUUGUUGUGUUGGCCAGGCUGGCCACAAAUUCCUGGUCUCAAGUGAUCCUCCCACCUCAGCCUCUGAAAGUGCUGGGAUUACAGAUGUGAGCCACCACAUCUGGCCAGUUCAUUUCCUAUUACUGGUUCAUUGUGAAGGAUACAUCUCAGAAACAGUCAAUGAAAGAGACGUGCAUGCUGGAUGCAGUGGCUCAUGCCUGUAAUCUCAGCACUUUGGGAGGCCAAGGUGGGAGGAUCGCUUAAACUCAGGAGUUUGAGACCAGCCUGGGCAACAUGGUGAAAACCUGUCUCUAUAAAAAAUUAAAAAAUAAUAAUAAUAACUGGUGUGGUGUUGUGCACCUAGAGUUCCAACUACUAGGGAAGCUGAGAUGAGAGGAUACCUUGAGCUGGGGACUGGGGAGGCUUAGGUUACAGUAAGCUGAGAUUGUGCCACUGCACUCCAGCUUGGACAAAAGAGCCUGAUCCUGUCUCAAAAAAAAGAAAGAUACCCAGGGCAAGUUAAGUUCGGAGGGGCACAGAGCUCCCAUGCCCUCUGUUGAACAUGCGACCCUCCCAGCAUCUCCUGUGUCCAGCAACCCUGAAAGCUCUGCAAACCCCUUUCAGGGUGUUUAUGGAGGCUUUAUUAUGCAAGCAUGAUUGAUAAAACCUUUGGCUGUUGGUGAUUAAGUCAGUCUCCAGCCCCUCUUCCCCCUGGAGUUCAGUGCAUGAGGCUGAAAGUUCCAAGCCUCUUACCAUGUGGUUGCAUGGUAAUCAGCCCUCCUCUUGAAGAAAUUUAGGAGCUUGCAGUCACCCAGUCAUCUCAACAACAUCCCCAAAUGCAUUCUUACCAUGCUGGAGAUCCCAAAGUUCUUAGAGGCUCUUGUGUUAGAAACCUGGGACCAAGAUCAAAUAUUAAAACAAAAGAUGCUCCUGUCACAUCUAUCACUGAGGUCUUUGUAAGAGCUUUAGAAGCUCUGUGCCAGGAACCAGGGACAGAGAUUAAAUAUAUAUUUCUUUUCUUUUUUUUGAGACAGAAUCUCCCUGUGCCAUCCAGGCUGGAGUGCAGUGAUGUGAUCAUAGCUCACUAUAGCUUUGGCCUUCUGAGAUCAAGCAAUCCUCCCAUCUCAA
RNAcentral lists this long non-coding RNA (3609 nucleotides) under Homo sapiens (human). Its description in RNAcentral is "HSALNT0289567". Lineage: Eukaryota; Metazoa; Chordata; Mammalia; Primates; Hominidae. The record is from RNAcentral.